This 700-nucleotide ribosomal RNA is filed under the name uncultured bacterium. RNAcentral describes it as "bacterial SSU rRNA". It matches the Rfam family "Bacterial small subunit ribosomal RNA", at positions 99 to 775 of the family's 1533-position model. The record is from RNAcentral.
CAGACGGGUGAGUAACACGUGGGUGACCUACCCAUUGGUGGGGGAUAGCUCCUCGAAAGAGGGGCUAAUACCGCAUGACAUCGAUCGCCCUUCGGGGUGAUCGAUCAAAGCUUGCCUCUUCUUGAAAGCAGGCGCCGAUGGAGGGGCCCGCGCCCCAUUAGCUUGUUGGUGAGGUAACGGCUCACCAAGGCGACGAUGGGUAGCCGGCCUGAGAGGGUGAUCGGCCACACUGGAACUGAGACACGGUCCAGACUCCUACGGGAGGCAGCAGUGAGGAGUUUUGCGCAAUGGGCGAAAGCCUGACGCAGCGACGCCGCGUGGAGGACGAAGGUCUCCGGAUCGUAAACUCCUGUCAAGAGGGACGAAUCCCGAACGGAUGAAUAAGCCGGUCGGUUGACGGUACCUCUGGAGGAAGCCCCGGCUAACUCCGUGCCAGCAGCCGCGGUAAUACGGAGGGGGCCAGCGUUGUUCGGAAUUAUUGGGCGUAAAGGGCGCGUAGGCGGCUAGGCAAGUUGGAGGUGAAAGCCCUCGGCUCAACCGAGGAACUGCCUCCAAAACUGCCUAGCUUGAGUCCCGGAGAGGGUAGUGGAAUUCCCAGUGUAGCGGUGAAAUGCGUAGAUACUGGGAGGAACACCAGUGGCGAAGGCGGCUACCUGGACGGGUACUGACGCUGAGGCGCGAAAGCGUGGGGAGCAAACAG